UAUCGGAUCGAAAUCUGGAUAAACAUUCAUGCCCUUCAGGGAUCUACUGGACUGAAAUUUGGAUUAACAUCUGUGCCCUUUGGAGCUUCACUAAAUUAGAAUCUGGAUUGGUGUUCAUGCCCUUCGGGGCUUUACCAGAUUGAGAUCCAGAUUGAUACAUGUGCCUCAUGAGGCUUUAUCGGAUUGGAAUCUGGAUUGAUAUUCAUGCCCUUUGGGACUUUAUCGGAUUGAUACAUGUGCCCUAUGAGGUUUUAUCGG
This 258-nucleotide long non-coding RNA is filed under the name Elaeis guineensis (African oil palm). Its description in RNAcentral is "long non-coding RNA (EGUI_LNC001957)". Lineage: Eukaryota; Viridiplantae; Streptophyta; Magnoliopsida; Arecales; Arecaceae. The record is from RNAcentral.